Molecule: transfer RNA, 76 nt
Filed under: Gammaproteobacteria bacterium
Lineage: Bacteria; Pseudomonadati; Pseudomonadota; Gammaproteobacteria
Also listed under: 2 other names
Description: tRNA-Thr
Rfam family: tRNA
About the family: Transfer RNA (tRNA) molecules are approximately 80 nucleotides in length.
Source: RNAcentral
GCCGGCGUAGCUCAGUUGGUAGAGCAUCCGCUUCGUAAGCGGGGGGUCGGGGGUUCAAGUCCCUCCGCCGGCACCA